UGUAAACACUCCUCUGUCUUGAAAACUAAAGAAUUAGGUGAUGUAUGCCUUUAUUAUCGGUGAAGGCAAUGGCACCCCACUCCAGUACUCUUGCCUGGAAAAUCCCAUGGACAGAGGAGCUGGUAGGCUGUAGUCCAUGGGGUCGCUAGGAGUCAGACACGACUGAGCGACUUGACUUUCACUUUUCCCUUCCAUGCAUUGGAAAAGGAAAUGGCAACCCACUCCAGUGUUCUUGCCUGGAGAAUCCCAGGGACGGGGGAGCCUGGUGGGCUGCCGCCUCUGGGGUCGCACAGAGUCGGACACGACUGAAGUGACUUAGCAGCAGCAGCAGCAGCGUGCCUUUAUUAUAAACAGAAAUGGAUCUUAUAAACUCUACAAGUUCUAUGGAAAUGGAAAGCCACAUAUCUAAAAUGUGCCUGCUGUUCAUCCUUAAAUUUAUGAAAUCUUCCUCUUCCAAAUUAAAAAUCUACUAAAUCUGAAAAUCUAAAUGGAAAAAAAUCUUUAAGCUAAAAAGUCUACUUAAAAUCAUGAAACAGCCAUAUUGCCCCUACUAAAUUCUGGUGUGUAAAUCUUAUAAUUGCCUUGGUGUGUUACAGAAAAGGCGUUGGCUUUGGUGUCUGGGUCCCAGCCCCAUGUGGUACUUGACUGCUUGGUGCCUCACUCAGAGAGAUUGUAACACCUACGGCACAAGGUGGUUGUGAGGAUUAAACAAGAGAAUGACAAAUAGCAUCUUGCUUGGCAGAGUACCUGCGGCAUAGUGAGUGAAGACGACUUUGACUUUCCCUUCCCGGAUUGGCGUUUGACACAGGCAAGAUCUCUGGGUUGCAGAUCUUACUCCAACCGACCACUAGAUGGCACUAUUUGGAGACGUCUUCAUCCACCACCUAGUCUUACCAUACGUUCUCCCCUCUGCCUUGGAGAUCAGGUUUUCCAAGGUCUCAAGAGCUUGAUGAGCCUCUUUAGAUGGACACUUUCUUUGCAGAUCAUCUCCUGUCCUCGCGCAGAACUACAAGCAGAAAUCCUACAGACAGUUGUGAUAAAGAGAGGCGAUUCUGUCGAAAUGUAGUCCGGCCAGUUGGUGAUUUUGCUCCAGCUGUGAACAGGUUAAAUUAUGCAGCAUAGCACAUUUCAUCCAUCUUUCAUCAGAAAGAACAGACUGGGUGCUCUGAUGCUGUGAUGGAGGCAUAGUGGUUCUGGGGAAGUGGAUCUAUGUACUUGAAAAGUCAAAGGGUUGAGAGGAUAAAGGAACGGUCUUUCUCUUGCUGAAGAGAAGUGAGUUUGGCAUGACUCUUGGACCUCCAGGGGUAUCCCUGCUCCUAGCAAAGGCAGCUUCAGGCUCUGGUAGUCUGCGAACACAAGGAAUUUAGAGGCAGAACCUCAUACUCUGCUGGUGGUUUCUCCUGUCUUCACUCGAGUAGGCAGGUAUGCCGCUCCAGAAACAAAGGGCGUGAUUUGUCGGGUUGGGAGCAUGUUUAACACCUUCGGGUUACUCACAAUGUAAUUAAUUCAUCAAAACAUCUUGAAUGGUUCCUGAAUGAUCCAAUAUUAGUCUCUAAACUGUCAUUGUUGUGUUACACCAUAUUGCAGUAAGAUUAUAAGUAGGUAUAGGUUAAGAUCGUACUUUCUCCUACAUCUGCAGUUCAGUUCAUUGCCUGGUACCUAAUUGGCACACUGAAUAAAUAAAAGAAUGAAUGAACUCA
This 1700-nucleotide long non-coding RNA is filed under the name Bos indicus x Bos taurus (hybrid cattle). RNAcentral's name for it is "lncRNA (ENSBIXG00005006370.1)". The record is from RNAcentral. Lineage: Eukaryota; Metazoa; Chordata; Mammalia; Artiodactyla; Bovidae.